ACUCCUACGGGAGGCAGCAGUGGGAAUAUUGGACAAUGGGGGCAACCCUGAUCCAGCAAUGCCGCGUGUGUGAAGAAGGCCUGCGGGUUGUAAAGCACUUUCAGUUGGGAGGAAGGCUGCGCAGUUAAUAUCUGCGUAGAUUGACGUUACCGACAGAAGAAGCACCGGCUAACUCUGUGCCAGCAGCCGCGGUAAUACAGAGGGUGCGAGCGUUAAUCGGAAUUACUGGGCGUAAAGGGUGCGUAGGUGGUUUAUCAAGUCAGAUGUGAAACUCCCGGGCUUAACCUGGGACCUGCAUUUGAAACUGGUGAACUAGAGUUUGGAAGAGGGAAGUGGAAUUUCCGGUGUAGCGGUGAAAUGCGUAGAUAUCGGAAGGAACAUCAGUGGCGAAGGCGACUUCCUGGUCCGACACUGACACUGAGGCACGAAAAGCGUGGGGGAGCAAACAGGAUUAGAUACCCUGGUAGGCUCUGCU
This 475-nucleotide ribosomal RNA is filed under the name uncultured bacterium. Its description in RNAcentral is "bacterial SSU rRNA". It matches the Rfam family "Bacterial small subunit ribosomal RNA", at positions 335 to 801 of the family's 1533-position model. The record is from RNAcentral.